UUUUCUUCGGAUUUUCCGUCCAGUAUAGGGGAAAGAAAGGAGAUCCCUCCUGGUCAAAAAAUUCUCGACGGCCAGUCUCGGUGAUUAUUAUUUUAAAGAAUUGAUCUUUAAAGUUCUUGAAAGACUCGGAGUAACCCAAUCCCUUUUCGGAGAAGGACACACGUCGAAAUAAUAGAGAAAGGCAGGAACAAUGGGAGGUAUGCCCGCAACCAAACACGCGGAGCCAAACACUUGAACCGCGGCCCACGAGUUCAGAUGAAGUUGUGUUGGCGCCACAUUCAACUCACGAAGCAACCUCGCCUGGAAGUUGGUGAAGGGGAUGCGAAUACGUAGUUGGUAGAAAAAAUUUGCAUAGACGAAGAAAAAGUCCUCAACACUGGAGCCUUUCCCAUGGCAUACGCGCUCAUUUUCCCG
Molecule: long non-coding RNA, 414 nt
Filed under: Vigna radiata
Lineage: Eukaryota; Viridiplantae; Streptophyta; Magnoliopsida; Fabales; Fabaceae
Description: long non-coding RNA (VRAD_LNC001935)
Source: RNAcentral